UGAAAAAGUUGACAGCAGUACAGAAUUACAAAUUACAAUGUCAUUCGUUCAUGAACAAAUAUUCAAUCAGGUACAUUUUUCCGAAAAGUUAAUGUUGUUUGCAGACAAAAUCUUGGUCUUCUUGGUUUUAAAACCAUUAGACUCAUUUUUCAGUAGGGCCUCUGAUGAUGAUUAGAACAGCAACCAGCAACGAACUUUAAAAAAUUCCAAUGGAUACAUACGGAGCCUAAACGCAAAUAGACAUAACCAAAUCCAGCUAAUCACCAUAUACAAUCCAGAAGUGAUAAUUUUAAAUGAGACUUGGCUAAAAACGGACCAACGAUGUAGUCUAUCUAACUACGUGUUAGUGAGGCAAGACGUGUGUGACGACUUGAUGGCUAUGGAGGAGUAAUGAUUAUGGGACAUCAAAACCUAAAGUUCCGACUCAUUUCCAACUCGCGCCUGAAGAACAAUGGUUUGCAGUUACACAUACAUACACAUCCGGUUCAACAAUGUAGACCUCAUAGGUACCUAUUGUCCACCAAACUCCCGCAUUCGGACACUGAGUAACUACUUGGAGGAUAAAAGCCUAUCAAAUCUGAUAAUAACGGGAGAUUUAAACGCGCACCACACCUCAGGAGGAGGAGGCAUAACAACAACGACAAUGGAAACUCACUAUAUCUUGGACGAUAGAUUCCUAAUAGUCAUGAAUCAUCUGGAGCCGAAUCCUGGACUGCGGUUAUAGCGAUCACUUUCCGAUCAUGUAAGAAUACCGAGCAAAUGCCUCCCAUAACAUUCUAAUUAUAGGAAAAAAUUGGAAAUACCAAAAAGCUGACUGGAAUAAAUUCUACCAAAUAAUUGCGAGGGGAAUAGAAACACAACCAGCAACAACUAACUAACACAUACACGCAGGUAAUACAGAAAAGGUGAUACAAAACGCCGCUGAAGAGAUUCCCCCAAUCGGAAAGAAAGUGUAAAUUCCCAAAAAUCCCGUGGUUGGAUCAAGACUGCAAAAGUGAGGUGGAAAAGCGCAAGCGAAGCCUGCAAGAAUUUCUGCAAUACUCUUCAAUAGACAACAUGCUUAAAGCUAAAUUGGUCAGAGCGCAAACCCGAAAAAUGCGGAGGUGUAAAAAGCAGCAGAGCUUUAUAAGGUCCUGCAACGACCUAAAUAGAGAUAUCCAUAUCGCUAAAAUAUGGAAUACGGUGAUGAUGUUUAACAACAGAAGAUCGGUAGGCAUAGCAAAUCUUGGCCCUAGAAAUUUUAAACAAUCUGACCAUCAACCACAUGCCUAUUCAAAUACCCACUGCACAACCAGCAGGAAACCAUACAAUAGACCCCAUAUCCACCAACGAGAUAAAGCGGUAAUUGAAACGAAGUCUGAUCACCAGGACUAGAUAACAUUCCAUACACAUUACUUCGGAAAAUAACCCCUAAUGCGCUGGAAACUCUGACCAACAUCUACAACUCUUGCCUAUAAUCACAGUCAAUCCGGGAAGAAUGGAAAAAAAUUAAUAAUCGCUUUCGUCAAGCCGAAAAAAGAAAUAAAAGCGAAGAACUUCAGGUCAAUUACUUUCACAUGUGCUUUAAAAAUAUUUGAAUCCAUCGUUAAAAAAAUAAAAUAAACCGCAUCGAAUGGCUACUAGAGAGCAGGAGAUGCUUCAAACACUGGCAGACAGGUUUCCGAAAAGAGAUGGGCCCCAUAACAACAUUCAUCGAACGGGCUUUCUACAUAAAUGAAAAGUGUUCAUCGACCUAAAAGCUGCAUACGACAACGUUAACCUAGCAACACUGAAACGUUUUCUGUCUAGGUCUUGUGAGUCUUCUGUUGACGACAUAUUCUUCAACAAUAAACAACACCGUUCUAGAAAUCCUGUAUGAAAGACACCUUUACAUUAAGGACAACCACAACAAUCUGCAUGCACCCAAGAACUCCCUUUCAGGACUCCCAGUCCGCUUUUGUGCAAUAUAUACACCAGAAAAAUAUACAGAUGCAUCCCGAAAGGAGUAGAAAUGCUGGCUUACAAAUAAUACCGGAAAUAAUACAAAUGCAUUGAGACAACCGGUAAGUGUGGCCCUGCAUAACAUUAACACCUGGUGUACGGAGCAUAACCUGGCAAUAUCGACGGACACAACACAAGGAAUGCAGUUCCAAAAGCAAGACGGCUAAACGGAAAAACCAUCCAAAUCAAGACGGAAGCCAAAUAUCUGGGUGUGAUACUUUACGAAAACUUUAAGUGAACAUCACAAUUAAAGGACAGGAGAGAAAAAGGCAAAAAAGGCACAGGAGAAAAAAAGAAAGUAGAAAGCGGAGAAACCGACUUGGAAACCCGACGUAUAUGGCUAGCUGCCAAAUUGUAUUCAAAAAUAGUGGUUUACAGCGGUCACCCUCUCAUACCCACGAUUACAGAUCAACGCCACACCAGGACGCUUAAUGCACAAAACGAACACAAAACACUCUAUAUAGUCCAGGCAUUACCGCUGCUCAACAAACUCAUCGCAGAAGGAGACAGAAAUCGUACUAUCCCAUGUUUGAGAUUUAAUAAGUAUAAUUAUAAUAUAAAAUUUUAUUUUAA
Dendroctonus ponderosae (mountain pine beetle) is the source of this 2553-nucleotide long non-coding RNA. RefSeq lists it as uncharacterized. The record is from RefSeq and is a predicted model, not a curated record. The transcript has 2 exons. Lineage: Eukaryota; Metazoa; Arthropoda; Insecta; Coleoptera; Curculionidae.